AAAUGCUUAACAGUCGACACAAUGCCACGUACACAGGCGUGCAGCUGCGCUCGCGAACGUGAGCCCAAGCCAGACCAGCGUGCGGCACACGUUGUCAUUUCCGUCGUGAAACAUUUGACCACGUUAUAACGCUAAUAUCGCGCGUCACCGUGUCAAGGGUGAGAGUUGAAUAUUUAAUUCGCGGUAUUGUCGGAGCCCUCGGUGCCGCUCGAUUGCUUCUUUCUUUCCGUCUCCUCUGCGCACUCGGUUCCGACUAAUUAAUCGUGAGAUUUCUUUUGCUGCUGCUUGCGUCACGAGCAACGAUUCCGAUAAUGGAUGGCGGACGUUCAUAUAUUACGUAGAUGUACUCUUCAUAAACUUUUUCGAAGGGUCUUGCUGCGAACACGUUGAAUGGUAACCAUGGAAAAUUGGGUAAACCCGGCCGCCGGAAUAUUGCACGUUGUCAUCAAAGGAUUAAUUGAAAAUGGAGAUGACAUUGUCGCCGCUUGAAAAUUACUGGGAAUGUGGAUUAUCGGAGCGCCAGGUAUAAACGUAUCUCUAUUUAUAAUGUCACUUCGAAUUGGGAUAUCUGAAUUGACGGCAUUAUGAUUGCAACAAGCCCAAAGGAUAAUCGCAAGUAAUACGAUAAUUACCGAGGAAGCGCAUUUUUAACACUGAUUAAUUAAGACGAAAACUUCAGUUUAGUACACGCAUUUCAUUCUUAUUAUUUGCAAUACCGUUUUACAUUUACAAUGGUAAAUGAACAGCAGUAAAGUAACUAUGUCAGAAUAAACCACUGUAUGGAUAAAUGAAAGGUGCAAGCUCUCGAUUAGACGUAAGAGGUUUAAAACUGAACUAAAACUAUGAAUUCAACGGCUGCUCCCUUAAAGUACUUACGUGGUUGGAGCUAUAUUAGCUUAUUGUUAGUAAUAAUACUAAUUUUAUUAUACAUGAAUGCAUUGAUACGCAAAAUGUAAUUUCGCGUUUACAAGAGCUUACCAUGUACUGUAUGUAUAUAUGCGAAAUAAUUGAAGGAUUCGAGAUUAAUUUACAAUACCGGAGAUUGUAUAUUUAGUACAAUGAUGUAGUAAUUAUAAUGGCUACUAAUAAUAUAUAGAUGCGUUAUAGAUAAUUUCGAAUUAUUAGUUGUUACAUAUGAUACAAUUAGCGAUUAUAGACUGUUAUGUAAAGUAUAAACUAUGUAAGUUUCGUGUAAUGAUUUGUGUAAAUGUCCUUUCAUUGCUAAUUGUUUAGUAUCGUUUAUAAUAUGAAUACGUCUGGAAAUUAUGUAAAAAUUUACCGUACUUUGGAUGUAAAGUGAAAUUGUUAUGAGAGAUUUUUGCAUGUCACGAAAUAUUUCUUUAUUUCUAAAAAGAUAUAAUAUAUAAUGCGUAGAAAAUGAAAUGCAUAUGUCAAUAGAAUUAGUGUUUAAGAAAUUACAAACUUCCUAGUAUUAUUUACAUGUAUGAACAUGCACAUGAAAUUCGAAAUUUUUGAAAAUUUGCAAUCCAUAUUUCAAGUAAUUUAAAUUCAAAAUAAAAUUGUUAUUAAAACAAACCAUUUUAUAUAUAAAAUGCUAAUAUUAUAUUAAUAAUAUUAUAUAUCAAUAUCUAAUGCUAUAUAUAUAAUAUUAUUAACAAUAGUGUUAUGAAAUAUAUAAUAUUAAUAAUAGUACUAUGAAAUAUUCUCCUUUCUUCCUAAAGAAAUGUAAUACGCAUGUAUACAACUAUUUUAAUUAGAUGGAAUUAAUAAGCUGACAACACUACAACAUUAAACAAUAAAUUUUUUCGAAAUGGAAAUAUAUUUUUCUUAUACUGUAUCAAAUUAUUGUAAAAAUUCUAAUAAAGAAAUUAUGGCGUUGCCAUUGCGCGCGGGAAGUUAACUAUCAGAAUAUGUAAUUUUCAAUAACAAAAUAUUUUGUGCGGUCAUCAGAGGAUUAAUUGAAAAUGGAAAUGUCACCAGCACUGUACUGCAAUUGCGAGUUCGUAGGUGGACACAGCAGUAGGUGUGAAUGCAUGAAAGAGCAAACGACAGUAAUAGGUAUUGUAUUGCAAAACAACUGGCAGCAGUGCACUUUCGAAGAGUGUCGUAUGCGUUCGUUAAUUAGUUUAUUCGGUCUAUUAUUAUUUGAAAACUCCAUGUUGAGUAUGUCGCGUUAUUGUGUACAAGCGAACGCAAAUAAUCACCAUUCCUUCUUCAUAAAUGAGCAUAAACUGCACUGCAAUUACGUAGAUUAUUUUAUCAUAACAGAAAGAAUGAGAGUAAUAAGUAUACAAUAUCGCUCAAAAGUAUCUGAACAUUCGUUGAUUCUUGGCAAAAUAUAUUUUAAGGACAAAAUUACAAACAAAUUAAAUUGCUCCGAUUUUAUUCCUUAUAAUUAUCAUAGCUAUGCGUAAUAGCACGUUAUGAUCCGAUUAAGCCAAUAUGUAAUAAUAAAAUUGGGUUUGUAAUUGGGAAACCUCAUAGAAGUAUUUUAUUACUUGUUUUAGA
Bombus huntii is the source of this 2469-nucleotide long non-coding RNA. RefSeq lists it as uncharacterized. Lineage: Eukaryota; Metazoa; Arthropoda; Insecta; Hymenoptera; Apidae. The transcript is spliced from 3 exons. The record is from RefSeq and is a predicted model, not a curated record.